AGCAGCAGCCGCGGUAAUACGGAGGGGGCUAGCGUUGUUCGGAAUUACUGGGCGUAAAGCGCACGUAGGCGGCUUUGUAAGUUAGAGGUGAAAGCCUGGAGCUCAACUCCAGAAUUGCCUUUAAGACUGCCGAGCUAGUAGGUGAGAGGGGUGAGUGGAAUUCCGAGUGUAGAGGUGAAAUUCGUAGAUAUUCGGAAGAACACCAGUGGCGAAGGCGGCUCACUGGCUCAUUCUAGACGCUGAGGUGCGAAAGCGUGGGGAGCAAACAGGAUUAGAGACCCGAGUAGUCCCUGUCUCUUACAC
Molecule: ribosomal RNA, 303 nt
Filed under: uncultured bacterium
Lineage: Bacteria
Description: partial 16S ribosomal RNA
Rfam family: Bacterial small subunit ribosomal RNA
Source: RNAcentral